RNAcentral lists this unclassified non-coding RNA (253 nucleotides) under Diaporthaceae sp. Its description in RNAcentral is "partial contains 5.8S ribosomal RNA, internal transcribed spacer 2, and large subunit ribosomal RNA". The record is from RNAcentral. Lineage: Eukaryota; Fungi; Ascomycota; Sordariomycetes; Diaporthales; Diaporthaceae.
CGCACAUUGCGCCCUCUGGUAUUCCGGAGGGCAUGCCUGUUCGAGCGUCAUUUCAACCCUCAAGCCCCCCGGCUUGGUGCUGGGGCACUGCUCUGUGAGGAGCAGGCCCUGAAACCCAUCGGCGAGCCCGCCGGGACCCCGAGCGUAGUAGUUUUCAACCUCGCUCUGGAAGGCCCUGGCGGUGCCCUGCCGUUAAACCCCCAACUUCUGAAUUUUUGACCUCGGAUCAGGUAGGAAUACCCGCUGAACUUAA